RNAcentral lists this small RNA (130 nucleotides) under Serratia plymuthica. RNAcentral's name for it is "RtT sRNA". It matches the Rfam family "RtT RNA". From Rfam's summary of the family: This family represents a bacterial cis-regulatory element known as RtT RNA. The record is from RNAcentral. Lineage: Bacteria; Pseudomonadati; Pseudomonadota; Gammaproteobacteria; Enterobacterales; Yersiniaceae.
UUUCGCCGGUCGCUCAAGAGGAUGAGUACCUCCGAAGGAGGUUUGAGCCGAGCGCAGCGAGACCACGUUGCUUUAGCAACGGCCCGCAGGGCAAGCAUCAAAGAUGCGCGUAAUCCUCUCUCGCCGACCA